GGGGGGGGGGGGGGGGGGGGGGGGGGGGGGGGAGUGGAGCGCAGAGAGGAGGGGCGGGCUGCUGUGACGGUAGGUGGGGACGGGGGAGGAGCACGUGGAUAAGCUACCGAUAGGACUGGGCUAAAUGCGGGAAGCCGGAGCGAUUACCGGAGAAUAUAUGGAACCGAAUGGUGCAAUAUUGAAAGACGGUUUUGCUGUCACUUAUAGAUAGGUCCUCGCGGCAUAAGCUAGUUGGUAAGGUAAUGGCGUACAAAGGCGAAGAUGACGAGCCUAAAUGAGAGGGUGAUCAGCCAGACUUGAACUGAGACACGGGCCAGCCUCCUACGGGAGGCAGCAGUAGGGAAUCUUCCGCAAUGGGCGAACACCUGACGGAGCAACGCCGGUUGAGUGAUGAAGGUCUUCGGAUCGUACAACUCUGUUAUUAGGGAAGAACAAAUGUGUAAGUAACUAUGAACGUCUUGCCGGUACCUAAUCAGAAAGCCACGGCUAACUACGUG
RNAcentral lists this ribosomal RNA (497 nucleotides) under uncultured bacterium. RNAcentral's name for it is "partial 16S ribosomal RNA". The stretch from base 51 to 497 matches the Rfam family "Bacterial small subunit ribosomal RNA", at positions 39 to 507 of the family's 1533-position model. The record is from RNAcentral.